RNAcentral lists this transfer RNA (64 nucleotides) under Torleya grandiforceps. Its description in RNAcentral is "tRNA-Tyr". It matches the Rfam family "tRNA". From Rfam's summary of the family: Transfer RNA (tRNA) molecules are approximately 80 nucleotides in length. Their secondary structure includes four short double-helical elements and three loops (D, anti-codon, and T loops). The record is from RNAcentral. Lineage: Eukaryota; Metazoa; Arthropoda; Insecta; Ephemeroptera; Ephemerellidae.
GAUAGGGUGGCUGAGGCUAGGCGAUAGAUUGUAAAUCUAUAAACGAGAAUGAACUCCCCGAUCA